GUCCACACACAGCUGGCAGAACACCUUUUGCUCUAAUUCGCGAGGAAAAAAAGAAGGAAAUCUCUGAUACUUCAGAUACUGUAUCAAGUAAGGACAUGUUUGUGGCUACAAGAAAAAGAAAACUUGGCCGCGUAUACAAAAGCUCAUAUGACAAUACGAUUAGUAAAAUUGCUGAAAUGGAGAGAAUGCAAUCUACUCAGGAAAGUGAAG
This is a long non-coding RNA of Nicotiana attenuata, 210 nucleotides long. RefSeq lists it as uncharacterized. The record is from RefSeq and is a predicted model, not a curated record. The transcript has 3 exons. Lineage: Eukaryota; Viridiplantae; Streptophyta; Magnoliopsida; Solanales; Solanaceae.